Homo sapiens (human) is the source of this 1283-nucleotide long non-coding RNA. RefSeq lists it as uncharacterized. The transcript is spliced from 2 exons. Lineage: Eukaryota; Metazoa; Chordata; Mammalia; Primates; Hominidae. The record is from RefSeq and is a predicted model, not a curated record.
ACGACUUUGCUGUCUGACACAAAACGGACCAUCGCAGCCCGGCAGACGCUUUAGACAACAAACAGCAUGCCUGGAGCUUUUCAAUAGGAAGCAGUAAGGCUUGAUCAUCACAGACGAUACGGAACGGGCACUUUCUUAGCAGAAAAUAUUUCUAUUGGGGCGUGAAGGAAGUUUCUGAAAGGGAAGAUUAUUAUAAGAUAAGGGGUUUGCUCAUCUCAGACUUUAGUGUGCCUGCUUUAAAGUGUUUUGCAAACUUGAAUGUUUAAAGGAAUCACCUGGCGGUCUUGUGAAACUGCAGCUUCUAAUGGGCAAGUCAGAGGGGAAGCCUGAGACAUGGCAUUUCCAGCACGUUCGGGGAGUGAAGAUGCUGUCGGCUGCCACCCUCCCUGCAAGGAGCCAGGGGAUAGAUGACCUCUACGCAAACUGUGAGAGCUUAAAAUAACUGAUAGUGAAAAACAGUUACAGAAGCUCUAGGCCGGGCACGGUGGCUAAUGCCUGUAAUCCCAGCACUUUGGGAGGCCGAGGAGGAUGGAUUGCCAGAACUCAGGAGUUUGAGACCAGCCUGGGCAACACGGUAAAACCCUGUCUCUACGACAAAAUAAAACAAACAAAAAUAAAAGCCACGCAUGGUGGCGUGUGCUUGUAGUCCCAGCUACUCAGGAGGCUCAGGUGGGACAAUCGCUUGAGCAUGGAAGGAGGAGGUUGCAGUGAGCCAAGAUCGCACCACUGUACUCCAACCUGAGUGACAGAGUGAGACCCAAUCUCAAAAAAAAAAAAAAGCAGUAAAUCCAGGGCCCAAAAGCUCCCCUCAAUGGGAAGUAGAAUCUCUUUCUCCACCUCUUCAAUAUGGCUGGCCCUGGAACUUCCCUUGGCACACAGAAUGCAGCAGAAUUGGCUUCAUGUUGUUUCUAAGCCUUGGCCUCAGAGGCCUUGCAUGCUUCCUAACCCUGGCUCUAGGAAACUUGCUGCUGUCAUGUAAGCAAGCCCAGGCUAACCUACUGAAUGUUGGUGUGUCCCAGUCAAAUCCAGCACUGCAACCAAUAGCCAGGCAGCCACCAGACAUGUGAGUGGGGCCACCUCACACCAGCCAACCUCCACCAAGUCAUCAGAUGUAUGAGUGAGAACAGCCCAGAACAACUGAGCCCGUCCAGACCAGCGGAACAACCAAGCUGACCAGUAGACUUAGGAGCAGUAAACAGAUGAUUGUUAUGGAAGCCAUUCUGUUUAGGGUGUGUGUGUUAUUGCUUGCAUCCAAAUACAUCCUAUCUCAUCUAAUGAGAAAA